UGCAAGUCGAACGGCAGCACGGAGCUUGCUCUGGUGGCGAGUGGCGAACGGGUGAGUAAUAUAUCGGAACGUACCCUGGAGUGGGGGAUAACGUAGCGAAAGUUACGCUAAUACCGCAUACGAUCUAAGGAUGAAAGUGGGGGAUCGCAAGACCUCAUGCUCGUGGAGCGGCCGAUAUCUGAUUAGCUAGUUGGUAGGGUAAAAGCCUACCAAGGCAUCGAUCAGUAGCUGGUCUGAGAGGACGACCAGCCACACUGGAACUGAGACACGGUCCAGACUCCUACGGGAGGCAGCAGUGGGGAAUUUUGGACAAUGGGCGAAAGCCUGAUCCAGCAAUGCCGCGUGAGUGAAGAAGGCCUUCGGGUUGUAAAGCUCUUUUGUCAGGGAAGAAACGGUGAGAGCUAAUAUCUCUUGCUAAUGACGGUACCUGAAGAAUAAGCACCGGCUAACUACGUGCCAGCAGCCGCGGUAAUACGUAGGGUGCAAGCGUUAAUCGGAAUUACUGGGCGUAAAGCGUGCGCAGGCGGUUUUGUAAGUCUGAUGUGAAAUCCCCGGGCUCAACCUGGGAAUUGCAUUGGAGACUGCAAGGCUAGAAUCUGGCAGAGGGGGGUAGAAUUCCACGUGUAGCAGUGAAAUGCGUAGAUAUGUGGAGGAACACCGAUGGCGAAGGCAGCCCCCUGGGUCAAGAUUGACGCUCAUGCACGAAAGCGUGGGGAGCAAACAGGAUUAGAUACCCUGGUAGUCCACGCCCUAAACGAUGUCUACUAGUUGUCGGGUCUUAAUUGACUUGGUAACGCAGCUAACGCGUGAAGUAGACCGCCUGGGGAGUACGGUCGCAAGAUUAAAACUCAAAGGAAUUGACGGGGACCCGCACAAGCGGUGGAUGAUGUGGAUUAAUUCGAUGCAACGCGAAAAACCUUACCUACCCUUGACAUGGAUGGAAUCCCGGAGAGAUUUGGGAGUGCUCGAAAGA
This 973-nucleotide ribosomal RNA is filed under the name Janthinobacterium sp. RNAcentral's name for it is "bacterial SSU rRNA". It matches the Rfam family "Bacterial small subunit ribosomal RNA", at positions 56 to 1025 of the family's 1533-position model. Lineage: Bacteria; Pseudomonadati; Pseudomonadota; Betaproteobacteria; Burkholderiales; Oxalobacteraceae. The record is from RNAcentral.